Molecule: long non-coding RNA, 759 nt
Organism: Camelus dromedarius (Arabian camel)
Lineage: Eukaryota; Metazoa; Chordata; Mammalia; Artiodactyla; Camelidae
Exons: 4
Source: RefSeq, a predicted model, not a curated record
GGUGCCUCUGCGCUCCUUUGUGCCUUCUCAUCUUUUAAACACGUUAACACCACGUAUUCCCUGAACUCAUCCUUAUCAACAAGCAUUAACUGUGAAAAAGGCGUCGGGAUACAGAGAGAUGGGAGGCUGCUUCUUGCCCUACAGAAGUUAAUUAUCUACUUGGGACGAGGACCCACGUGUACAGAUAUUUUGGAGGAUAGGGCUGAAGGAUGCCUCAGUGGAACCAUCGGUAGAUACCUACGAAAUUUUAAGGAGGGGUCAUGGUCUGCUGCCCUGGUUGGUGACUAACAAAGCCGAAUUCAGAUGAGGAGACUAGAAUCCAUUCCAGGUGUGAGCCAAAGGUGGAAACCACUACUGGGGAGAGAAGUAAAUGUCGAGUAGGAAGGAUGGUUCAGCAGAGAAAACGUGAGACAAAGUUGCAAAGGGCAUGAAAGAAGCAGAAGGGCAAGAAGAGAAAUUGGGGACUUCUGCAGAGUUUUUUCAACAAGCAUUUACUGAAUGGCAGGCACUGUGCUGAGCUUUGGCUGAGAGACGGACCCAGCUGAAAGCUGAUGCAUCUCCAUCAGGACAUGGACUCACACGGGCAGCUCAGAGAGGACAAAUGAGGCGGCAUGAGAAGGACUACCCUCAGGUUUGCCUCUGCUCCAUCUGUAUGCCUAUCGAAUGUAGGAUCUCAGCCAACCACUCCUUACUUAGCAUGUGUAAAAACCACAUUCAUACCAUUCUGAUGAUUUUACUCAGACCCUCGUAUCUUGGGAC